UACAGAGGGGGCAAGCGUUAUUCGGAAUUAUUGGGCGUAAAGCGCGCGUAGGUGGCUUCAUAAGUCCGUUGUGAAAGUCAAAGGCUCAACCUUUGAAAGCCGAUGGAUACUGUGAAGCUAGAGUACGGAAGAGGCGAGUGGAAUUCCUGGUGUAGCGGUGGAAUGCGCAGAUAUCAGGAGGAACACCAAUAGCGAAGGCAGCUCGCUGGGACGUUACUGACACUGAGGCGCGAAAGCGUGGGGAGCGAACAGG
Molecule: ribosomal RNA, 253 nt
Filed under: uncultured bacterium
Lineage: Bacteria
Description: partial 16S ribosomal RNA
Rfam family: Bacterial small subunit ribosomal RNA
Source: RNAcentral